CGUGAUUUGGGCUAUAUUACGGACCCAAAAUUACUUUUUCAAGCAUUGUUUUCGAAUAUUUUUCAUGCAUCAAAGCUCGUUAAGACUAGAUGGGGUAUCCCUACAUGGCGGGUGGGACCCACGGCGAACGGUUCAUCAAGACUUAAAAAAAGAAUAUAUACGAUUGCAUUGCAUAUACUAACGGAUGCGAUCAUACCAGCACUAAUGCACCGGAUCCCAUCAGAACUCCGCAGUUAAGCGUGCUUGGGCGAGAGUAGUACUAGGAUGGGUGACCUCCCGGGAAGUCCUCGUGUUGCAUCCCUCUUUUUUUUUUUUUUUUUUUGGUUAAAACUUUAUGACUCUAUAACUUCUAUACCGUGAGGCCAAACUUGGCAUGUGAUACCUUUUCGGAAAGCCCAAAGAGAGCCCUCCGACGAAAGAAGCAAGACAAUGGAACUUUUCCAUUGACUUUUUGUCGACUCCAAAUUUUGACCUUUACGUACUUUUUCGGGGAAUC
Molecule: ribosomal RNA, 496 nt
Filed under: Arabidopsis thaliana (thale cress)
Lineage: Eukaryota; Viridiplantae; Streptophyta; Magnoliopsida; Brassicales; Brassicaceae
Source: RNAcentral